UUCAGCCCAGCUUUGUUUAUUUGGCAAUCUUAUAAAUGAAGCUUUCUGUUUUUACAGUGCAUCAUGACUGUUACUGACAUGUUGAUAUUGACUCUGAUUAAAUCUCCAUUGGUGACUCUUUGUUAAGGUGGAGUUUUCUACAUAGAAGCAUCAUUUGGUAUACACCAGAUACACAAGUUACUUUUUUAAUGUCCAUGAGGCACAACUGCAAAUACAUGGACAACUACCUUAAGAGCACUGUGACCAGAGCUGCAUCAGCUCAUGGCCAACAUGCAGCCUGCAAGACCCUCCACCAUUACUCAUGGUCCUGUUUUACUUCCUGAAGAAGGUUUUCUUUGGGUUGACAGCUAAAGCAUGUUGUUUCCUCACCAUCUUUGCUAGUGGAGCAUGGAUGGUUGGGAUCUGCUACUUUUUAGGGACUGAUUUUUCUCCUAAAAUCAACCCUGCAACCUGUGAGUUGGAAAGAAGUCACUCAAGAAUUGUGACAGUUCAGAAUGGAAAAAUCACUAAAUGGGACAAGCCUGAUCCUUUGUAGACCUCCAGUGUUGUAUGUUCUCAUUUAAGAUACUAUUAAGGAAAACUAUUUAGGAGAAUAAGAUAUAUCAUUACACACUUUAAAAUCAGCACAGAGGUGAGAACCUUCAGCAGAUGUCUGCUAAUUCCCAACACUGCCUUUGGAGGAGGGAACUGCCAGCUCUGGGCAGAGCAGCCAACAGAAACACCCACAAGCUGAGAAGGUUGAGGUUUUGGGGGGGGUGAGGUGGUUUUCGUGUUCUUUUUUACCUUUUCCUCUUUUCCUUCUCUUUAGUAACAAUCCUGCAAAGAACUACCCCAUUUCCAGCACUUCUCAAGGUGACUGGAAUAGAGGGGAAAAACUCCUGCUUUGAUUAAAACCCCAUUUUCUGAAGUAAGAAUUAAAUACCCAGAGCGCUAUUACAAAGUGUCAACUGCUGUUGCUGUACUGUAAUACCUUCAAGAGCUAUUUGGGUUUUUUCCAACUAAAUCUUAACCUUUAGAAUCAGAUUUGGGUUGUGCAUUUGUUCCAUCAGCUUUAUAUACUGUUUCCUUUGCUAAGUUACACCCUUACCAAAAUGUUAAAUUCCUCCUAACCAGAACAAGGGCUGAAAUAGGUUAUAUUUAACUCUGCUCUAAAAGGGAGAAAAUACUGUGGAAGGAAAGUACCAUUCUGAGGUGAUGGUCACUUGCAUUUUUCAAUCAAAAUUAGAUGAAAUAAACAUUUACAUCAGUUGCCACUAAAACAUUAUAGUCAAGUUUCAAUUAAUUUUUCACUUACGUUUAAUAAAGUCUUCUUUUUAGUAUGUAUUUAAAUUGAUUCAUGGAUUGAUGCUGGAGAGGGACUCUUCAUCAGGGACUGUAGUGAUAGGACAAGGGGUGAUGGGUUCAAACUGAACCAGGGCAAGUUCAGGUUGGAUCUAAGGCAGAAGUUCUUCCCUGUGAGGGUGCUGAGGCGCUGGCACAGGGUGCCCAGAGAAGCUGUGGCUGCCCCAUCCCUGGCAGUGUUCAAGGCCAGGUUGGACACAGGG
Molecule: long non-coding RNA, 1544 nt
Filed under: Strigops habroptila (Kakapo)
Lineage: Eukaryota; Metazoa; Chordata; Aves; Psittaciformes; Psittacidae
Description: lncRNA (ENSSHBG00005002303.1)
Source: RNAcentral